Molecule: long non-coding RNA, 600 nt
Filed under: Ananas comosus (pineapple)
Lineage: Eukaryota; Viridiplantae; Streptophyta; Magnoliopsida; Poales; Bromeliaceae
Description: long non-coding RNA (ACOM_LNC034502)
Source: RNAcentral
AUAUCUCAAAGUCUUACCCUCAUUUCAUUUGAAAGUAAUAAUCACAUUGUUGAAGUUACAUAUGGUGUUAUAUUUUUGUUUAUGGUUGUUCCCAAUCAGAGAUUCGGAAUUCAAGUCGUAUCCUUUGGACAGUGUAGAAAGAUAUGUUACAAUAGUAAAAUGUCUUAUUUUGGUGUGUGUGUGUUAUCCUUUGACUUGCUAAAUCCAUAGUAGUCACGGUUAAAUAAUGGGCUACAGGUGGACUCAAUCAACAAUUUCAGAGAAAAUUGCCUAUAUACCCUAGUAAAAUUCCAAAAUUUUUUAUUUAUCCUUUGGUUUCAAAUAUGUUCCUGAAAAGAUUGUUUGUUUGUUUGUUUUUCUUAUAUACCCUAUUUUGAGGGUUGUUGUUUUUUUUUUUUUGGAAGAAUUUGGGCUUUUAGAUGGGUAAAUUUGUUGACAAAUGUUUUUGAGGGGCAUGUAUAAAUAUAAAUUUCUUUGUAUUAAGCAGUAUAUAGGCAAUUGCCCCAUAAUUUACCUAUUUGGGGUUAAGUGUUGCUAGCUCGGUUCACGUAUCAAGUGGUAAAUAGAAUAUCAAAAUACAUACAUACAUACAUACAUAUA